RNAcentral lists this long non-coding RNA (454 nucleotides) under Vulpes vulpes (red fox). RNAcentral's name for it is "lncRNA (ENSVVUG00000021088.1)". Lineage: Eukaryota; Metazoa; Chordata; Mammalia; Carnivora; Canidae. The record is from RNAcentral.
GUAACCAUCUCGAUGACUCUGCAACAUCGGAGAAAUCAACAGUUCCUUGCCUUAAUUUCAAAUCAGGAUCAAUACAAAAGGGCUUAAACCGUGAUAAUGACGAGAAAAUACAUGGUAUUUGAUGCUUCAGGACUAAUAAUACUGGCAAGUCUUUCACCAAUCAUAAUGGACCAAACCUGCUUCCUAGACUGCAACAUAACUGACCCGAGGAAAGGUCACAGAAACAAACAAACAAACAAACAAAAUCCACCACAUUGAAUUAGAAGACAGUGGUAAGCGAGACAUGGCCAUGUGAGAAUGCUGCCAAUGAGACACAACCAGAAGUCUGCUAGUACUUUCUCUUCUUUUGCCUCACACAUGGAUAUAGUAUUGGAGGUACAGCUCUGUUGCUACCAUCAGGCUAAAAGGCAAAAGCCGAGGGUGGUGGACAAAGAAGACAGAAAAUCUGAAUCCU